UAGGGAAUCUUCCGCAAUGGGCGAAAGCCUGACGGAGCAACGCCGCGUGAGUGAUGAAGGUCUUCGGAUCGUAAAACUCUGUUAUUAGGGAAGAACAAAUGUGUAAGUAACUAUGCACGUCUUGACGGUACCUAAUCAGAAAGCCACGGCUAACUACGUGCCAGCAGCCGCGGUAAUACGUAGGUGGCAAGCGUUAUCCGGAAUUAUUGGGCGUAAAGCGCGCGUAGGCGGUUUUUUAAGUCUGAUGUGAAAGCCCACGGCUCAACCGUUGAGGGUCAUUGGAAACUGGAAAACUUGAGUGCAGAAGAGGAAAGUGGAAUUCCAUGUGUAGCGGUGAAAUGCGCAGAGAUAUGGAGGAACACCAGUGGCGAAGGCGCCUUUCUGGUCUGUAACUGACGCUGAUGUGCGAAAGCGUGGGGAUCAAACAGG
Molecule: ribosomal RNA, 429 nt
Filed under: Actinomycetes bacterium
Lineage: Bacteria; Bacillati; Actinomycetota; Actinomycetes
Description: Actinobacteria bacterium partial 16S ribosomal RNA
Rfam family: Bacterial small subunit ribosomal RNA
Source: RNAcentral